GGGCAGCAGUUAAGACCCCUUGUACUUCAGGAUCCAUGUAAAAGUGUGCAACAACGCCAAUUUUUUUCUCCUUGAGCACUUUGACAAGCUCUUUCACCGUAGAAUCGUUUGGGAACAAAUAUCUUGCCUGAGCUUCCGCAUAGCUUCCUUUUGCAUGAAUUCCAUCAGCAGUCACAACCAGAGAUGGAAACGGCUCAAAUGGCGACUUCCCUUCAAGCUCCGCAAUCAAAGCCUUAGUCCUCUUUUGCAUACUAAUCAAAACAUUGUACCAAGUAUUUACUCUCGAUCGCUCUCCACCCGUUACUCCCACAUUCAAAGCAGCCAAAUCAUCCGUCUUCAACCUCAGAACAUCCUCAGGCAUCGCACCAUCAAGAACCGAAACUAAACACGAACAAAACCCUUUAGAGAUCUCCGAAUCACUAUCCGCAGCGAACCUC
Molecule: unclassified non-coding RNA, 437 nt
Filed under: Hevea brasiliensis (rubber tree)
Lineage: Eukaryota; Viridiplantae; Streptophyta; Magnoliopsida; Malpighiales; Euphorbiaceae
Source: RNAcentral